UACGGGGGGGGCAAGCGUUGUUCGGAAUUACUGGGCGUAAAGGGCUCGUAGGUGGCCAACUAAGUCAGACGUGAAAUCCCUCGGCUUAACCGGGGAACUGCGUCUGAUACUGGAUGGCUUGAGUUUGGGAGAGGGACGCGGAAUUCCAGGUGUAGCGGUGAAAUGCGUAGAUAUCUGGAGGAACACCGGUGGCGAAGGCGGAUCUCUGGGCCAUUACUGACGCUGAGGAGCGAAAGCGUGGGGAGCGAACAGG
RNAcentral lists this ribosomal RNA (253 nucleotides) under uncultured bacterium. RNAcentral describes it as "partial 16S ribosomal RNA". It matches the Rfam family "Bacterial small subunit ribosomal RNA", at positions 524 to 776 of the family's 1533-position model. The record is from RNAcentral.